Molecule: long non-coding RNA, 494 nt
Filed under: Mytilus galloprovincialis (Mediterranean mussel)
Lineage: Eukaryota; Metazoa; Mollusca; Bivalvia; Mytilida; Mytilidae
Source: RNAcentral
AAAGUGCACCAGAAAUAUUACAUUAAUUUCUGGACCUAUGGCUGGUAUAGCUAUGAAAAUACGGAAAGUCAAACAGAAAAUAGCCCAUUAAACAUGUAAAAAUAACAUUGAUGUUUUUAUAAACCAUCUUUGAAGGCUAAAUUAGUAGUCAGCUGUCUGAAAAUGAAUUUUAUUGCACAACAACUUUCAUAUAUAAAAAAUCCACAGGGGCCAAAAUGCGAAACCAAACUCCUAACUGUGUAUUGCUGUCUUCUGGUUCCCAGAAAUUCCAGAAUAAAAAACAGGUACUAAGCCAACUAUACAACGGGGGAAAUAUGCCCUGUUUUUUAUUAAUUUUUUUCUGAUUAUUAUUCAACACGGGUCUUUAGUGAUCCUAAGUGAAUACGCUUUCAUUUGAUACCAAAAUGAACUAAAUAUUAUACUUAUUGACAAAGAUUUAUAAAUAUGCAUAGUAACUAUUUUGUUUGAUAUAAUGUACUACUUUGUAUGUUCUC